Molecule: long non-coding RNA, 214 nt
Filed under: Prunus persica (peach)
Lineage: Eukaryota; Viridiplantae; Streptophyta; Magnoliopsida; Rosales; Rosaceae
Description: long non-coding RNA (PPER_LNC008176)
Source: RNAcentral
AGGAGCUUGCUCUAGUACGUACACAAUCUUCUCAAUUGUCAUGAAUAUGUUGAGAUUACGGUAUCAUGUUCGAAAGUUAUGGCCCUCUAGACAAUGUUUGUCCAAGAGUUGGGCAAAUGCUGAUCCAUACAUAUCUACAAAUACAUAUAGCUAAGUGUUAGAUUGAUUUUAGAUUUACCAUUGACUCGGGUCUUUAAGUCAAAAGGUAACCCCC